AUUGAACGCUGGCGGCAUGCCUUACACAUGCAAGUCGAACGGCAGCACGGGUGCUUGCACCUGGUGGCGAGUGGCGAACGGGUGAGUAAUACAUCGGAACAUGUCCUGUAGUGGGGGAUAGCCCGGCGAAAGCCGGAUUAAUACCGCAUACGAUCCACGGAUGAAAGCGGGGGACCUUCGGGCCUCGCGCUAUAGGGUUGGCCGAUGGCUGAUUAGCUAGUUGGUGGGGUAAAGGCCUACCAAGGCGACGAUCAGUAGCUGGUCUGAGAGGACGACCAGCCACACUGGGACUGAGACACGGCCCAGACUCCUACGGGAGGCAGCAGUGGGGAAUUUUGGACAAUGGGCGAAAGUCUGAUCCAGCAAUGCCGCGUGUGUGAAGAAGGACUUCGGGUUGUAAAGCACUUUUGUCCGGAAAGAAAUCCUUGACUCUAAUACAGUCGGGGGAUGACGGUACCGGAAGAAUAAGCACCGGCUAACUACGUG
This 486-nucleotide ribosomal RNA is filed under the name uncultured bacterium. Its description in RNAcentral is "partial 16S ribosomal RNA". It matches the Rfam family "Bacterial small subunit ribosomal RNA", at positions 30 to 507 of the family's 1533-position model. The record is from RNAcentral.